RNAcentral lists this ribosomal RNA (828 nucleotides) under Triticum aestivum (bread wheat). RNAcentral describes it as "partial small subunit ribosomal RNA". The record is from RNAcentral. Lineage: Eukaryota; Viridiplantae; Streptophyta; Magnoliopsida; Poales; Poaceae.
AUGGCGCCAACGGAGGGUGACGAGCAACCCCCGUUGCGCAUGCUCUUCUUCCGGUUCCUCCUCCCCGGCCACCUCAUCCCGAUGGCCGACAUGGCCGCGCUCUUCGCCGCCCGUGGCGUUAGGUGCACCAUCCUCACCACACCCUUGCAAGCUUCGACCAUCCGCUCCAUCGUCGACCGUGCCAACAUUUCCCUGGGGUCAGUGGAUGUUGUCGUCGUUCCUUUCCCCGACGUCGGGCUUCCCCCCAGCGCCGAGAGCGGGACUGGCCUAACAUCCAAGGACUACAACGACAGGUUCCUUCGGACGGCGGAGCUGCUCCAGGAGCCCUUCCGCCGCUUCCUGUCCAGCCACCACGCCGAGAUCGACGCCGUCGUCUCCGACGGCCUCUUCCACUGGUCCGAGAGACAAGCUGGCGGCUCUUCGAGUCGUGCCCAGCGAGCGAAUAUUCUCCUAAUAUCCGGAACGCGCUGGGACCUCCAAAUCGAAGGAACCACGCGGAACCGGUCGUCGCUCUUUCCUCUCCUCCCCGAAACCCAAUCGAGUCCUCUCUCGAGCAGCCGCCUCCCACUCGUCUCUCCCUCACCCGAUGUGCGCCAUCGGCGAACUCCUCUCGACUGCGCCGCCGGCAACUCGUCUCCUCCCCGAAACCCAAUCGAAUCCUCUCUCAAAGCCGCCUCCCACUUGUCUCUCCCUCACCCAAUCUGCGCCGCCGGCGACUUCCUGAAGAUCUGCGCCGCCGGCGACUCGUCUCUUCCUCUCUCGUGCGGCGGAUCGAGCGGCUGGGUGGUGGCAGUUUUGCUACGGGAGCGUCGGCGGGCUUGGUGCUAA